This 497-nucleotide ribosomal RNA is filed under the name uncultured bacterium. Its description in RNAcentral is "partial 16S ribosomal RNA". It matches the Rfam family "Bacterial small subunit ribosomal RNA", at positions 28 to 507 of the family's 1533-position model. The record is from RNAcentral.
GAUGAACGCUGGCGGCGUGCCUAAUACAUGCAAGUCGAGCGAACGUACGAGAAGCUUUCUUCUCUGAUGUUAGCGGCGGACGGGUGAGUAACACGUGGAUAACCUACCUAUAAGACUGGGAUAACUUCGGGAAACCUGAGCUAAUACCGGAUGAUAUUUUGAACCGCAUGGUUCAAAAGUGUAAGACGGUCUUUCUGUCACUUAUAGAUGGAUCCGCGCUGCAUUAGCUAGUUGGUAAGGUAACGGCUUACCAAGGCAACGAUGCAUAGCCGACCUGAGAGGGUGAUCGGCCACACUGGAACUGAGAAACGGUCCAGACUCCUACGGGAGGCAGCAGUAGGGAAUCUUCCGCAAUGGGCGAAAGCCUGACGGAGCAACGCCGCGUGAGUGAUGAAGGUCUUCGGAUCGUAAAACUCUGUUAUUAGGGAAGAACAUAUGUGUAAGUAACUGUGCACAUCUUGACGGUACCUAAUCAGAAAGCCACGGCUAACUACGUG